Molecule: ribosomal RNA, 616 nt
Filed under: Lactococcus garvieae
Lineage: Bacteria; Bacillati; Bacillota; Bacilli; Lactobacillales; Streptococcaceae
Description: bacterial SSU rRNA
Rfam family: Bacterial small subunit ribosomal RNA
Source: RNAcentral
AGCUUGCUAUUUUUAUGAAGAGCGGCGAACGGGUGAGUAACGCGUGGGAAAUCUGCCGAGUAGCGGGGGACAACGUUUGGAAACGAACGCUAAUACCGCAUAACAAUGAGAAUCGCAUGAUUCUUAUUUAAAAGAAGCAAUUGCUUCACUACUUGAUGAUCCCGCGUUGUAUUAGCUAGUUGGUAGUGUAAAGGACUACCAAGGCGAUGAUACAUAGCCGACCUGAGAGGGUGAUCGGCCACACUGGGACUGAGACACGGCCCAGACUCCUACGGGAGGCAGCAGUAGGGAAUCUUCGGCAAUGGGGGCAACCCUGACCGAGCAACGCCGCGUGAGUGAAGAAGGUUUUCGGAUCGUAAAACUCUGUUGUUAGAGAAGAACGUUAAGUAGAGUGGAAAAUUACUUAAGUGACGGUAUCUAACCAGAAAGGGACGGCUAACUACGUGCCAGCAGCCGCGGUAAUACGUAGGUCCCAAGCGUUGUCCGGAUUUAUUGGGCGUAAAGCGAGCGCAGGUGGUUUCUUAAGUCUGAUGUAAAAGGCAGUGGCUCAACCAUUGUGUGCAUUGGAAACUGGGAGACUUGAGUGCAGGAGAGGAGAGUGGAAUUUCAUGGGUAG